This is a ribosomal RNA of Strigamia maritima, 697 nucleotides long. It matches the Rfam family "Eukaryotic large subunit ribosomal RNA", at positions 1 to 878 of the family's 3401-position model. Lineage: Eukaryota; Metazoa; Arthropoda; Chilopoda; Geophilomorpha; Linotaeniidae. The record is from Rfam.
CGGCCCGUUAUCAAACGCGGGUAGGGGAUCCGACGGGCGCCGAAAGCUAAAAACCGAAAAGGCGGUCGUCGGCUCCGCGUCUGCCGUUACGCCCACGUGGAACUGGAAUCUGGCGUAGAGGCAAGAAAAAUUCAAAAAUAAAACGCUCACGGUCGGCGGCGAGUAGGUCGGUCACCCACCCGACCCGUCUUGAAACACGGACCAAGGAGUCUAACAUGUGUGCGAGUCGUAGGGUCUGCUUUUAAAACGAGCUAAACCCGAUGGCGAAAUGAAAGUGAAGGCCGCCCUCGUGGGAUGCAGAACGGCCGAGGCGAGAUCCUAAAAAAGUCGGCCUCCCUUUUCCCUCUCUCACGGGGGGGAUUUGCGGAGCCACCGGCGAAAUUUUUAAAAGAAACCGGACAUGGUAGGCACGCCGUCGGUCGUCAAAAAACCGUCGGCGGUCCGGAGGCGCAUCGCCGGCCCGUCUCGAUCGCUCCGAUCUUCCUUCCCGUUCUCCGCUCGCCGUUUCGGCUUUCCCGUCUCGUCACCUCUUUCGCGAGAGGCCGGGGCCGGGGUCGUCGCAUUCGGUUGGGGUUCGGGGGGGUCGAAAGGAAUCUCGGUCGAUGAGGCGGAGCAAGAGCACACACGUUGGGACCCGAAAGAUGGUGAACUAUGCCCGGGCAGGACGAAGCCAGAGGAAACUCUGGUGGAGGUCCGC